UACGGAGGAUGCGAGCGUUAUCCGGAUUUAUUGGGUUUAAAGGGAGCAUAGGUGGAUUGUUAAGUCAGUUGUGAAAGUUUGCGGCUCAACCGUAAAAUUGCAGUUGAAACUGGCAGUCUUGAGUACAGUAGAGGUGGGCGGAAUUCGUGGUGUAGCGGUGAAAUGCUUAGAUAUCACGAAGAACUCCGAUUGCGAAGGCAGCUCACUGGACUGCAACUGACGGUGAGGCGCGAAAGCGUGGGGAGCAAACAGG
Molecule: ribosomal RNA, 253 nt
Filed under: uncultured Bacteroides sp.
Lineage: Bacteria; Pseudomonadati; Bacteroidota; Bacteroidia; Bacteroidales; Bacteroidaceae
Description: partial 16S ribosomal RNA
Rfam family: Bacterial small subunit ribosomal RNA
Source: RNAcentral